CACACAUCACAUAAAUAAAUACUGUAGCAUGAAUGCAUCAAUAUGUUUCUAAACUUAUAUUAAAUUUUAAUUUCUCUAAAAUUAUUAUUUUUUUUCUUAUAUUUUGAUGCUCACAAAAUUGACACAAUAAAUCAAAUUUCAACUAUUUUAAAAACAAGCAAAUUUUAGGGUGUUACAAUAACCCUUUAAAUUUGCUUUAAAUUAUCCCUGUUGGCCAUUAUAAAACAUAAUUUAAAAUAACACCAUAUCAUUGCAUGUAAAUUACCUAACUUUGCCAUUAUAAAAUAAUAUUCUAUAACAAUAAAUUUCAUAAGUUAUUAUUUUAAGUAAGUUUAUAUAUUUUUACUAAAAUAUUAUUUCAUAUUAAUAUUAUUAAUUUUAUGUACUCUAUGAUAUACAAAUAAUACUACACACAUAUAAUACUUUGAUAUAACAAAUUCAACAUGUUUAGUGUCAGGAUGCAAGCCGAGUUUGAACUUACGUGGAAACAAAUAGAUAGAGAUAAGUAGAAUAUCUAAUUAACAUGUGAAAAAUGCAACAAUUGAUUAAAAGUUAAAGAUAAACUAUAGAUUUAUGAAGAUACAAAAAGGAUUGUAUCAAAAGUUUAUAUAUCUUAAGACUAGAUUUCAACUAAAUAUUCCCACUAGAAAAAUAUAAAUACUACAAAUUCCAACUAGAGGUCCUCGCUGGAGCCUGCGUGUUAAUCCUCACAAGACUUUAAUUUGAAAUAAAAGAUAACUCAUAUAAAUUCUCAUAAAAAUCAUAAACAUCUUACCAUCAAUUAGGUAUGACCUAAUCACCAUUGAUAGUAAUAAUAGCUAUUAGAUCUAUUAUGUUUUCUUAAUAAUUUUCCAUUUCUUCUAUUGUGUAAAAUAAUAUAAAUUAACUCAUGACUCUAAUUUAUAUUACUCACAUAUGCUGCUAAGAAACAUAUCUUGCAUUUAAGUCUCGAUGUCCUCUUAUUUAAUUUACAUAACUCAAUUUUCAUCUCAUUAUUACAAAAAUUAAAUACCCAUCAAAUAUGCAUCUAAAUUAUGAACAUCUCCUAUUACAAGUUGUUUAGAUAACAAAUAGAGCAUGUAUAUGUUUGUACAUUACCCCCACCUCUAUCAAUAUUUAUAUAGUAAGAUUUGAUUAAAGUAAAUAUAUGUGUCAUGCCAAUAUGCAUGAGCAAAAAAAAUACAUAUGUUAUGUUUCAUCACAUAAAUAAUAUUUUCUUGAUAACUCAUAUACUAAUGAUACUAACAAACUAUUUAAAAUUAUAUUAGUAACCAUAACAUAAUUUACAUAGAUUGUUGCUUUAGAUAUAUUUAUGUAUUUAAUUAAAAUAUUUGAUAUGUCUAUAGUGAUUGUAUAACAAUAACUGUAAAUAUAAUUUCUUGAUGGUGAAAUUCAAUCAUCUUGAGAAGUGUGUGAAACCACCAACUGGCUAUAUUUUUUGGGCCUUUAAGAAUACUUUAGAGUAAAAAAUCGAUUAUUAUAAGGUUAAGUAUUAAAAUUCUUUUAAGAUUAGCACUACUACCCCCAUGUCCGAGAAUUCACUUCAAGCCCCAUGACUUAAGUGGUGUACGUUUCAAAUAAUGGCUGAUGCUAUUGUAGUACUUAAGAACAUAGUCAUGACCUAAAAUCCCUUUUUUUUAAAAGUGGAAAAAGAAGAGUUAAUGAAAUAUACAAUAAGCACAAGAGUUUCAAGUUAACUUAAGAAGAGGAAAAAUUUUGUAUUAGUCGAUAAGAAUAAAAAUUGAAAAAAAACAAAAAAUUGCAUUCAUGACUUCAUAAGAUACAUAACGGAAUAAGAGCCACCAUGAUUAAUGGUAAGGUUUUAAAGUAACUACAUAUUUAAAUUAUAUAGAGGUGCCAUGCAAAAAAAUGAGUGAAUAAAAAAAAUAUUGAUUAGUUCCUUGAAAAAAUAUUAGUUAAUAAGUUUAUGAUAAUUAGAUAUGGACUGCAAAGUAUCUAUUAUAUCUAGUAUGUUAGGAAAUAAACAAAGAGAAAAUAUAUAAUUUAAUAUAAAUAAUUCUUUAUUAGUCGGAUGUACUCUCCUCAUUCUAAAUUAUAAGAUGUUUUGAGGCUAUACUUGUAUUGUCAAGAUAUAUAGUGAAAAUCUAAAAAUGCCAAAAUAUCUUAUAAUUAGAAUGAAUGAAUUACUAAAUAGUACUUUAUAUCUUCUAAAAUUCUAGCAUGUGUAAGAGCAUGGGCUGAUGGACUAGUGUAAUAUAAAGUAAAUGAAUAGUUGAAAUAUGAUCUAAGAGACCGUGUCACUUUAACUUGCGUCGGAUCAAAUGGAACGGAGAGAGUAGCUUAGAGCUAGUACUAGCUCAUAUUGUUGGAGAUCCUAUGAGCUUGUUUAGCACUUAUCCCCAUGUUCCAUCCUCUCAUUCUACUACCCAGAUUUACCAAGUAGUACUCUUGGGCAGGAGUAGUUUUGCAACCACAAAGCGUGUGGCUUGCUUUUCUAUGCUCAGCUGUGUUUAAGUUGUUUCGUAUUGUCAAACGGACGCAGUUAUAGGUCGUUUUGUGUCUUAUUAUUUAUAUUUUAUAUCAGCCUUUGUUUUUUCUUACUAUAUAUCAGAUGUGCCGCUUGUUUGAGUUUCUUUAAAAAAGGACGCAGUUAACAUAAAAUGCAUCAAAACAUGAUCACUCAUUUUUCCCUUCUUUUUUUUUGCUCCGAACAUGUUCUCGUUCCCCACAUACUGUUAGCCACUGCAGAGCUAAAAUAUACUUGUUUUUAAGAUCCCAAGGCGCGUGAUCUCUAACGACUUCCCUAUAUUUGGCUCUCUGUAUCCCUAAUUAAUGAC
RNAcentral lists this long non-coding RNA (2798 nucleotides) under Sorghum bicolor (sorghum). RNAcentral describes it as "long non-coding RNA (SBIC_LNC013592)". Lineage: Eukaryota; Viridiplantae; Streptophyta; Magnoliopsida; Poales; Poaceae. The record is from RNAcentral.